UUUUAUGAGAGUUUGAUCCUGGCUCAGGACGAACGCUGGCGGCGUGCCUAAUACAUGCAAGUCGAACGCUUCUUUUUCCACCGGAGCUUGCUCCACCGGAAAAAGAGGAGUGGCGAACGGGUGAGUAACACGUGGGUAACCUGCCCAUCAGAAGGGGAUAACACUUGGAAACAGGUGCUAAUACCGUAUAACAAUCGAAACCGCAUGGUUUUGAUUUGAAAGGCGCUUUCGGGUGUCGCUGAUGGAUGGACCCGCGGUGCAUUAGCUAGUUGGUGAGGUAACGGCUCACCAAGGCCACGAUGCAUAGCCGACCUGAGAGGGUGAUCGGCCACAUUGGGACUGAGACACGGCCCAAACUCCUACGGGAGGCAGCAGUAGGGAAUCUUCGGCAAUGGACGAAAGUCUGACCGAGCAACGCCGCGUGAGUGAAGAAGGUUUUCGGAUCGUAAAACUCUGUUGUUAGAGAAGAACAAGGAUGAGAGUAACUGUUCAUCCCUUGACGGUAUCUAACCAGAAAGCCACGGCUAACUACGUGCCAGCAGCCGCGGUAAUACGUAGGUGGCAAGCGUUGUCCGGAUUUAUUGGGCGUAAAGCGAGCGCAGGCGGUUUCUUAAGUCUGAUGUGAAAGCCCCCGGCUCAACCGGGGAGGGUCAU
This 654-nucleotide ribosomal RNA is filed under the name Enterococcus faecium. Its description in RNAcentral is "bacterial SSU rRNA". It matches the Rfam family "Bacterial small subunit ribosomal RNA", at positions 1 to 626 of the family's 1533-position model. Lineage: Bacteria; Bacillati; Bacillota; Bacilli; Lactobacillales; Enterococcaceae. The record is from RNAcentral.